Long non-coding RNA from Mercurialis annua (annual mercury), 800 nucleotides. RefSeq lists it as uncharacterized. Lineage: Eukaryota; Viridiplantae; Streptophyta; Magnoliopsida; Malpighiales; Euphorbiaceae. The record is from RefSeq and is a predicted model, not a curated record. The transcript has 2 exons.
UUUUAUGAUUUUGAUUUAUAAAAAGAUACUUUUUAAAUUAGCAAAAUACUGUCAACUGAAAUGGUAACCUCCUCACUCCUUUUGCAUGUUUCCAUUUCCAUUAGAUUGUUCAGAUAUUCUUGCCGGAUUUAACUCCACAAUCCCAUUUACCAAAUCUUUCCCAUUUUAGUUUGAUUUUAGGUUGGCAUAAAAUUGAAAUGACAAAAAUUAGGUAUUCCACAAAGCAAUCUCCUAUGAAAAAUCCCCAACAAAGAUAAGUUCUUUUUCUUCUACAAUUUAUUUUUAAAGUUUUUGAAUCAUUUUUAUUUUUUUAUAUUGAAGUUCAUGUAGAAGAAGAAGGGAGUGAUAGUGAUUUCGAAGAUUUCAUUGUCAAUGUCGUGAAAAAGAACAAACCGAUUGCUCCUCCGCCCGUUGAUGUCAAGUUUUUUUUCUGUCAAACUGAUGAAAAAAACGUUGAAUGAAGGCGUUUUGAGUUGAACGAAGAAAUGAGUUGUUAGAGUGGGAAGAAGAUAGGCGAACGAUGAACGAAAGCGAACGAUGAACGAAAGCGGUUUGAGUUGAACGAAGAAAGGAGUCGUUGGAGUGGGACGAAGAUAGGCGAACGAUGAACGAAAGCGAACGAUGAACGAAGGCGCGGUGGCUGGCAGCUGUUGUCUUUUUUAUUGUAAUUGGGAUAUUAGCAAUGAUGUAAAAAUAAUUAAGGUUAACUAUAUGUUUUUUAAUGGUUAAUUAAUAGUUAACUAACUGUGUAUGAUUUUUUAUAUAAAACAUGAAUAUAUAUUGAUAAUUACUUUUUUUAA